UUGGCUCGCAACCCAUUCAGAUAUUCCUGAGAUCCACUUUUGGGUUGCGACCCAUAUGUUGAGAAACACUGGUCUAUAGGACCACUGCUUCAUUUAUUACAGAAUUAGUAUUAGGAAAAUGCAGAUAGAUGGAGAAUGGGGUCAUGGUAAGGUGGCUAAAUUUUAUCCCUGUUUCCACUACCACAUUCUGAUGGGAUGCUGGAGGAAUUAUUUGCAGUGGACAUUUCUCAGGUGAUCAUUAUUUAUGUGCUUCUUAUUUUGUGGGUGUCUGAUUUACAGAAAUGCUGUGCACUCCCAACUGUAAUGGAAGCCAAUGGUAGCUGUGAAUCAAACAAAGUUCUAGCUAAUGUUAAUUUUUCUGAAAACAGGAUUUUGCUGUCUCAAACUAAGCACCCCAAAUUAGUGGACACUUCUGACCUUAAUCUCUUUGAGACUCAGUUCCCUAUUUACAAAAUUGAUUCCCACUCAUCCCACAGGAUGUUUACAAAAAUACUCUAUGCAGUUUUUGUGAAAUGUUGAACUGAUGAGAACACUAAAAAGCGUCUAAGCAAAUUAAUAUUUUUCCUCCAUGCUAGUUUGAACAAGAUGCAAUUAAAACAAGAGAUUGAGUAAUGAGAACAAAACAAAAUAUCCCAUAGUUAAUGUUUGAGUGAGCCCCACCCGGUCCAUGCACUGAAUGAAGAGGGAUGGGGAUUUGCUUGUGAAAAAAGGAGGAAUCUGAAUAAUUAUUGCCUCAGAAUUCAAACAGCAAGGGAACAGUAUUAAAUUUGCACAGGCAACCCUAAUUAUGACAUUUUUCUAACUUCUGAGUACUUGAUUUUAUUUUAGUGUAGAUUUUGAAUUUGAAUUUCUGGCUUGAUACAUAGGCUACUAGACUCAUAAAAAAGGAAACAGCAACAGCAGGAACAUAAAUAUGUUUCUCCCAGGCUAUGGGAUACUACAUCAUUAUGUUCUUGCCAGCUCCUGACCUAUAACAAACUAAGCAUAACCUGUCUCCCCACAUCCCUCUAAUGAAUUGACCCGAACAUUAGGUGUUUUUCCCCUAAGACAAGUUAAUUCCUGGCCCUUAAUGAGACCAAUAUUUUUAUCAUCAUCCACCUGAAUUCUGCUACACUAAUGUCACAAUUAAACAAUAUGCAAAAUUAUUUCAGUUAAAUUAAACCAUAUGCAGUUGCCUUUGAGGAUCCUGCUUAACUCAAAAGUUUCCACUGGGAAAAAGCUUCCCAAAGAGGAGAUUUGGAGAGGAUCCAUCUACUCAUAAGAAUUAGAAGAUAAGAAGAGGACUUUUGCUGGCAACUAGAGAGAGAAAAUAGUUCCUCAGAUAAAAGUUCCAGUAUAUUAUUAUAUUAAAUGUAUUUCUGGCGGUCUAAAUGGGAAGACAUCACCAUACUGAUUCUCAACACUUCUAUCUAUGCACUGCCUACUGCAGUGUCUCAGAAGUACCAUGUUUUCAGAAGUGAUCUUCCAGUGGAUAAUAUAAAAACACUGUGUUCCUCUGCCAAAUACACAAAUGCAUUUGGGAGGUAUUUA
Long non-coding RNA from Gavialis gangeticus (Gharial), 1530 nucleotides. RefSeq lists it as uncharacterized. The transcript is spliced from 2 exons. Lineage: Eukaryota; Metazoa; Chordata; Crocodylia; Gavialidae. The record is from RefSeq and is a predicted model, not a curated record.